UUUUCCCAUAUAACAUCAAUAUUCUCAUACUUGCCACCUAAUAUUCAACAGUUUCAUCAACAGGCGUUAUUUCCUCCUUUCAAUCAACCCCAACCUCCUUUCAACCCUGCUGUUUCUAUACCUCAAGAUUUCUACUCUCCAGUCACUCAA
Molecule: long non-coding RNA, 150 nt
Organism: Amphimedon queenslandica
Lineage: Eukaryota; Metazoa; Porifera; Demospongiae; Haplosclerida; Niphatidae
Exons: 2
Source: RefSeq, a predicted model, not a curated record